Molecule: long non-coding RNA, 370 nt
Organism: Perca flavescens (yellow perch)
Lineage: Eukaryota; Metazoa; Chordata; Actinopteri; Perciformes; Percidae
Exons: 2
Source: RefSeq, a predicted model, not a curated record
GCUUAUCCAAGGCACGUCAACUUCAUUUUGGAGUUUGGCCAGCUUUCUUCGUAGUGACUGUGACACUUUGGUCGCCUAAUAAUAUCUUGUUCAGCAUUCGAUUGGACGACAAGACACUCAAAGGAGUCGGCAGUUCAGUUUUUCUGCUGCCAUUGGAACCUGACCCCUGCUACCGCUUCACUCCUGCCAUCCACCGGAGCAGACAGCCACCACCACUGGACCCCACCACUAGCCGGCCUACUAUCUUCCUCUGACGGACCCGCUCCUUCCCAGAAAGCACCGACCCGUUCUCCAUCCUGGAAACUUUGAUGUGCUUUUCCCCCCUCAGAAACCGGGACUCGAUACUUUAAAUAAAACCUGUUAAUUCACA